RNAcentral lists this transfer RNA (73 nucleotides) under Camelus ferus (Wild Bactrian camel). It matches the Rfam family "tRNA". Rfam says of the family: Transfer RNA (tRNA) molecules are approximately 80 nucleotides in length. Their secondary structure includes four short double-helical elements and three loops (D, anti-codon, and T loops). Further hydrogen bonds mediate the characteristic L-shaped molecular structure. tRNAs have two regions of fundamental functional importance: the anti-codon, which is responsible for specific mRNA codon recognition, and the 3' end, to which the tRNAs corresponding amino acid is attached (by aminoacyl-tRNA synthetases). tRNAs cope with the degeneracy of the genetic code in two manners: having more than one tRNA (with a specific anti-codon) for a particular amino acid; and 'wobble' base-pairing, i.e. permitting non-standard base-pairing at the 3rd anti-codon position. Lineage: Eukaryota; Metazoa; Chordata; Mammalia; Artiodactyla; Camelidae. The record is from Rfam by way of RNAcentral.
GAGGGUAUAGCUCAGUGGUAGAGUGUAUGCUUAGCAUAACACGAGGCCCUGGGUUCAAUCCCCAGUCCCUCCA